RNAcentral lists this ribosomal RNA (239 nucleotides) under uncultured bacterium. RNAcentral's name for it is "partial 16S ribosomal RNA". It matches the Rfam family "Bacterial small subunit ribosomal RNA", at positions 553 to 776 of the family's 1533-position model. The record is from RNAcentral.
UAGGGAAUCUUCCACAAUGGGCGUAAAGAGCGCGUAGGCGGGAGAGUAAGUCAGAUGUGAAAUCCUGUAGCUUAACUACAGAACUGCAUUUGAAACUACUUUUCUAGAGUAUGGGAGAGGUAGGUGGAAUUCUUGGUGUAGGGGUAAAAUCCGUAGAGAUCAAGAGGAAUACUCAUUGCGAAGGCGACCUGCUGGAACAUUACUGACGCUGAUGCGCGAAAGCGUGGGGAGCAAACAGG